Orbicella faveolata is the source of this 1641-nucleotide long non-coding RNA. The record is from RefSeq and is a predicted model, not a curated record. NCBI's taxonomy places the organism in Eukaryota, Metazoa, Cnidaria, Anthozoa, Scleractinia, Merulinidae.
ACAACUUUCUUUCAAAUUAAGCCCUCAACAGGCAAAAUUGCCAUCAACCUAUCCUGGGUACACCAGCUACUCACUUCAUAAAUUUUGGUGGGAGAGAUGGUUAAAGAUGCUGUGACUUCUAUCAAGUAUAUAUAUGUUUUAAUUUGUGCAUAUCUCAGUCAAAUAAGGUUAUACAUGUACGCUCAAUCUGACUGUCUGUGCAAAGGAAAUACAAAUAUUUACAUCAUGUCAUGCGUGUUUAUAGAGUCCUCUACCUAUAUUUUAAACACUUAAGUGUUCUGAUAUGUUCAUAUAGUCGAAAAUCUUCCCCAAUAGACAUACAAUUUAUACUCCUUGCAUCGAUCUACAAUAUAACGAACAUAUUUCCAUGACCUUUGUGAGCGCCCGAGUGAAGCGACAAUUGUGAAGGAAAUGCUCUUUCCAAACAAAUAAUCUUCAAUUAUACGAGAAGUAAAUUUUAAAUUAUUACAAUCUGAGAAAUUGGAAAAACUAUUUCGGACAAAUUCUUCUAUUUUAUAAUGUCACUCCUCGAUUUUGCUCCAAUAAAUUUAAGCUUAAGAAAUUCAAACGUCGAGUAAACGAGAGUUGUGUCCAAAUACAACCACACACAGAAAAUCAUGCACAAAAAUAACUACCCACCUUGCCAAAGCACGAACGAUACAGCUAAGACAAACAGCACUUGCUUCAUGUAGCAAUUCAUACUGAAAACACCAGUUUAAUUAUCGAUCGUCCGAUUCCUCAAGUCACAAGACAUUACAACAGCGCUAAAUUUAUUCCAUGCCACGACAUGUAAAAUGGCACAACAACGAACACGAUUGGGAAUACUUUGUAACCACCCCUCACCCUCGUGGUUAUCAUGCUCGCAAUGGAUGCUGGUACAUGUUGGCUCAGCUAAUAAAAUUUCAUUUUUCAAUGCGUGUUUUUCCCCAUCUACUUGACAUUUCCACCAAAUUAUAAGAAGUUGAUAGUCUUAGUAGUUUUUGGGCUGCUUGUUCACAGAUACCUCGUGACCGCCUGGAGGUGCAUAUAGAUCGCCCUAAAAAUAUUUUAUUUUUCACUUUCACUGAAGAGUUGGAGAAAAGCCAGAGGGAAAGAAACUGGAAAAAAAGUUGGAGGUGUUGUGGAACAACUGAGACGCUUCAGCGCCAAUUACUAGUACAAGUUUUGUCUGUGUUCUCUCCGGUGACUGACAUAAACAAAGUUCUUCAGGAAUAAAUGCCCUUCGACACGAUAUCUCUUAAAUGUCCCUGUGGAUACAUAAGACAUGACGUUCAAUGCUUGGGUGAGUGGAACGACACCAAUCAGGGAAUCCUCAAGUAUUGUGGCGGGCUCUUCAUUCAAGACGCAAGCGGCGAGGCUGUCAUCUGCCGUAAGUGUAAACACGAAACACGUGAAAUCAGGCUUAGCUGUCCCUUCUGCUACAGAAUAACCAAUAUUGGUGUAGCGUAUCGGGUGAAGGCGAACACAGGACGGGCUGUGUCCAUGCAGAUGUCAGUACAUAAAACAAUGCUAUUCUUUAACUAAGUUGGAACAUUCAGUUGAACUUCUUACAGUGUUCAGACUUCGAAUAUACCUACAGUGUCUAUCUUUUUACCAAUAGCUCUGGGACUGCGAUUGCAAAUUCUUCAAAACAACGUAAAA